AAGGCAGACUGGAGUACUGCAACAGAGACCUUGUGGCCUGCAAAGCCUAAUAUAUUUACUAUCUGAUCUUUUAACAGAGAAAUGUGUAGACCCCAGUCUAAAUAUAAAACAAAAUCCUUUGUUAAGACCGUAGCCAUAGCCCAGAAACUUCAACUGUUCAAACGAGGCUCCUGAGGAAUUUAAAGGUGGUGUCUCAGCAGAAGUCCACAGGAAAAUAAGCUGGUCUCCAAAUGAUCUGUGGGUGUGGCUCCUGUCUAAUGGGAGUGAACCCAUAGGAGAUUCACAGGAGAUUCACACAAAUAUUUUAAGAGAAAUAGGUUAAGAGAAACACUAGCCUGGAUUGAUAGGUACCAUGAUAUUCUACAAGGAAAAGGCUUUUGGAUUCCCACAUUUCUACUAGGAAAAAGAAGGCUGAGAAAAUUACUUAGCCACAACCCCAUGCGACCGUUCAUGAAAAAGGAAGGAUGAUCCAAAAGGCGGAAUCAAGACCGUGGAGAAUUAUUACCAGGCCCACAGUUCUAAUCUAAGAACUCCCAAUGUUUGUCCAAAGCUUUUUUGUCAAAAUGUUUGUCAAAGCUCUUCCGGACUGGUGCCCCCUGUGCCUCCUGUAUCCUCUCUGGACAGCAGAGCUCACAGUGGCCAUCCUGUACCUGUCCCACCACUGUGUUCGAGAACGGGCAGUAACAAGUCUCUCUGGUUCACAGUUCUCUCCCGUCUCUAAUUACAAGACCUGCACUCAAGGUGUCAUACUCUAGGAAUUACAACAUUCAGCCUCAUUUGCCCCUAGAUGGGAUUUGGAUGACACCAUCCCAGAUUCUGAAUGGAUAUUGUAGAAGUGAGGGUCCUGGGGAAGCCAGGGAGGGGGUGAGCAUAUUUUCCAUGUGGCAGGAAUGUAAACAAUCUGUGCCAGGAGGUGCAUAACGGUGGUUUUAAAUGUGUUCACAAAUUCCUUGUCACUUCUCCCUUUGAGAGGUGGUGUUUACAAGCCACCCCCAUCCCCCCAAUCAAACUAUGGGUUGGACUUAGAGACUUGUUUCAAGAAAACCGAACAGGGCCGAUUGUCAGUGUGUGGCUCAAGGCUAGGUCAUAAAACACACCGUGCCUCCUCCUUCUCUUUUGGGUCACCGGCUCUGAGGGAAGACAGCUGCCCUGUUAUGAGGGCACUUAAGCGGCCUAAUGGAGAGGCCAACAAGGUGAGGGACUGGCCCACAGCCAUGAGAAGGAGCCAUCUUGGAGGCAGGCCAACCAGCCUCAGUCGAGCCUGCGGAGACUGAAGCCCAGGGCAACAUUCUGACCACAACCUCUUGAAAGACCCUGGCCAGAACCACCUACAGAGGCUGCUCACAGAAACUUUGAGGUACUAAGUCUUUGUGGUUUUAAGGUGCUAAGUUUCAGAUAAUUUUUAAUGCAGCAGUAGAUAAUACAUCCUAAAUAUAAAAAUAAAUAUACAAAAUAUACCCUACUCAAAUGCCACGUUCAAUGUGGGUUAUUUGGAAUAACAUACAAAAAUUCUACGUUGCAGGAAAUGUUUAUAUUACUUCUACUUUGGUCUGAUCUGAUUCUUUUUAAAAGAAACCUUUAAUCUUGGAAAAAUUUUAGAUUUGCAGAAAGGUUACAAAGACAGUACAUCAUUCCCAAAUAGCCUUCACUUAGUUUCCCCACAUGGUAGCAUCUUCCGUAACUCUGGUACAAUGGUCAAAACUAAUAGAUUAACAUAGGGUCAUCGCUAUUAACUAAACUCAAACCUUAUUCUCGUUUCCCCAGUUUCUCCACAGAUAUCUUUUUUCUUCUAGGAUCUAAUUCAGAAUACCACAUGCCUUUAGUAAUUUUCACAGCCCGAAAAUGAAGGAAUUAAACGAGGCAGACUUGGUGGUUGCUCCACACAUGUGCCGUAUUUGUCAAACUGAUAGGGCAUGUAUGGGAAACACAAGUUCCUACCACACUGAAGGAGUGAGUGGACUGAAUCGCUGCCCUCAAAAAGAGAUGUCCAGGCCCUACUUUCUAAAACCUGUGAACAUUACCUGAUUUGGAAAAAGGGUUUUUGCAGAGUUUUUAAGUACCUUGCAAAGAAGAGAUUUUCCAGGAUUAUCCAGACACGCCCUAAAUGUAAUCACAAGUGUGCUGAUAACAGACACAGAGAUGAAAGAUGCAGAGAAGAGGAGGCCACAUGAAGACAGAUAUAGAGACUCCAGUGAUGGAGGAACACAGCCAGGCGAGGACCACCAUGGGCUGCUGGCAGGCACCUGAGGCCAGGAGAGAGGUGGGAACAGAUGUUUCCCCUGAACGCAAGAGAACGUAGUUCUUCCAAUAACCUUGACUUCAGACUCCCAGUAACUUUUGUGGUUUUAAGGCAGUUAAGUUUGUGGUAAUUUGUUACAACAGCCACAAGAAACUAAUACAAGUAGGAGGCACCAGAGCAGCCCAGGAGCACAUGCCAUUUACUUGCAUGAGACUUCUUUGUUAAAAGGCUAGCUAAGAUAAACAGAGGUGCUGUCUCAGGUCUGCUGUAAACAACCUUCAACCUGACUGCCCGGCGCCAGGAUUUGGUUUGUAUUAACCCAAACCCCUAUCCACGAAUAUCUUCAAGACCCCUUUCUCUCAUGGCCACCAAGUUAAUGUUCACAGAUUCAUUGUCCCUUUGUGCACGUCCAUCACCAUGUUUGUAAGCCUUCUGAUCCUAAUAAAAAUGGGGCAAGGACCCUUACUCGGGGCUCUUGUCUUUUCCCCGACA
This is a long non-coding RNA of Neofelis nebulosa (Clouded leopard), 2731 nucleotides long. RefSeq lists it as uncharacterized. Lineage: Eukaryota; Metazoa; Chordata; Mammalia; Carnivora; Felidae. The transcript has 2 exons. The record is from RefSeq and is a predicted model, not a curated record.